UCCCUCUUAGCUCAGUGGUAGAGCGCGUCACUAGUAUCCUUCCAAAUGAAUAUGACGAGGUCAGUCGUUCAAGUCGGCUAGAGGGAA
Termitomyces sp. T32_za158 is the source of this 87-nucleotide non-coding RNA. The record is from the annotation of a GenBank genome assembly. Lineage: Eukaryota; Fungi; Basidiomycota; Agaricomycetes; Agaricales; Lyophyllaceae.